UACCAGACUCCUACGGGAGGCAGCAGUGGGGGAUAUUGCACAAUGGGGGGAACCCUGAUGCAGCGACGCCGCGUGGGUGAAGGAGCGUUUCGGCGCGUAAAGCCCUAUCGGCAGGGAAGAAGGAGGACGGUACCUGACUAAGAAGCCCCGACUAACUACGUGCCAGCAGCCGCGGUAAUACGUAGGGGGCAAGCGUUAUCCGGAUUCACUGGGUGUAAAGGGAGCGUAGACGGCGACGCAAGUCUGGAGUGAAAGCCCGGGGCCCAACCCCGGGACUGCUCUGGAAACUGCGGCGCUGGAGUACGGGAGGGGCAGGCGGAAUUCCUGGUGUAGCGGUGAAAUGCGUAGAUAUUAGGAGGAACACCAGUGGCGAAGGCGGUCUGCUGGACAGCAACUGACGGUGAGGCGCGAAAGCGUGGGGAGCAAACAGGAUUAGAUACCCCAGUAGG
Molecule: ribosomal RNA, 449 nt
Filed under: uncultured bacterium
Lineage: Bacteria
Description: partial 16S ribosomal RNA
Rfam family: Bacterial small subunit ribosomal RNA
Source: RNAcentral